RNAcentral lists this ribosomal RNA (464 nucleotides) under uncultured eukaryote. RNAcentral's name for it is "eukaryotic LSU rRNA". It matches the Rfam family "Eukaryotic large subunit ribosomal RNA", at positions 2184 to 2631 of the family's 3401-position model. The record is from RNAcentral.
ACGUAAUGUGAUUUCUGCUCAGUGCUCUGAAUGUCAAAAGUGAAGUAAUUCAACCAAGCGCGGGUAAACAGCGGGAGUAACUAUGACUCUCUUAAGGUAGCCAAAUGCCUCGUCAUCUAAUUAGUGACGCGCAUGAAUGGAUUAACGAGAUUCCCCACUGUCCCUACUUGCUAUCUAGCGAACCAACAGCCAAGGGAACGGGCUUGGCAAUGUCAGCGGGGAAAGAAGACCCUAUUGAGCUUGACUCUAGUCUAAAAUUGUGAAAUAUUUUUAUGGGUGUAGAAUAGGUGGGAGUUUGUAAAAACAAUCUUGAAAUACCACUACCGUAAAUAAUAUUUUACUUAUCUAAUUAUUAUAUAAUAUUAUUUUAAAUAAAUAAUAUUUUUUUGAUUUAAAAUGAUAUAUUCUUAUCAUUUAAUAUUCAGGGGUUAGAAAAAAUUUUAGUUUGGGAGUUUGGCUGGGGC